RNAcentral lists this ribosomal RNA (153 nucleotides) under uncultured bacterium. RNAcentral describes it as "partial 16S ribosomal RNA". It matches the Rfam family "Bacterial small subunit ribosomal RNA", at positions 355 to 504 of the family's 1533-position model. The record is from RNAcentral.
CCGCCAGCUCUGCGUGGGCGCAGCCUGAUGCAGCCAUGCCGCGUGUAUGAAGAAGGCCUUCGGGUUGUAAAGUACUUUCAGCGGGGAGGAAGGGAGUAAAGUUAAUACCUUUGCUCAUUGACGUUACCCGCAGAAGAAGCACCGGCUAACUCC